UACAGAGGGUGCGAGCGUUAAUCGGAAUUACUGGGCGUAAAGCGUGCGUAGACGGUUUCGUAAGUCGGGUGUGAAAUCCCCGGGCUCAACCUGGGAAUUGCAUUCGAAACUGCGAGGCUAGGGUACGGAAGAGGGAAGCGGAAUUUCUGGUGUAGCGGUGAAAUGCGUAGAUAUCGGAAGGAACACCAGUGGCGAAGGCGGCUACCUGGACUUAAACUGACACUGAGGCGCGAAAGCGUGGGUAGCAAACAGG
Molecule: ribosomal RNA, 253 nt
Filed under: uncultured bacterium
Lineage: Bacteria
Description: partial 16S ribosomal RNA
Rfam family: Bacterial small subunit ribosomal RNA
Source: RNAcentral